Molecule: unclassified non-coding RNA, 403 nt
Filed under: soil metagenome
Description: partial contains 5.8S ribosomal RNA, internal transcribed spacer 2, and large subunit ribosomal RNA
Rfam family: 5.8S ribosomal RNA (bases 1-122)
Source: RNAcentral
GAUGAAGAACGUAGCAAAAUGCGAUACUUGGUGUGAAUUGCAGAAUCCCGUGAACCAUCGAGUUUUUGAACGCAAGUUGCGCCCGAAGCCUUUUGGCCGAGGGCACGUCUGCCUGGGCGUCACGCAUCGCGUCGCCCCCCACAAUUCUCCGUAAAGGGAACGUGUGUUUUGGGGGCGGAUAUUGGUCUCCCGUGCUCAUGGCGUGGUUGGCCGAAAUAGGAGUCCUUUCGAUGGACGCACGAACUAGUGGUGGUCGUAAAAACCCUCGUCUUUUGUUUCGUGCUGUUGCUCGCAAGGUAAACUCUUUAAAAACCCCAAUGUGUCGUCUCUUGACGACGCUUCGACCGCGACCCCAGGUCAGGCGGGACUACCCGCUGAGUUUAAGCAUAUCAUAAGCGGAGGA